This 508-nucleotide ribosomal RNA is filed under the name uncultured bacterium. RNAcentral's name for it is "partial 16S ribosomal RNA". It matches the Rfam family "Bacterial small subunit ribosomal RNA", at positions 28 to 507 of the family's 1533-position model. The record is from RNAcentral.
GACGAACGCUGGCGGCGUGCCUAAUACAUGCAAGUCAAACGCUUCUUUCCUCCCGAGUGCUUGCACUCAAUUGGAAAGAGGAGUGGCGGACGGGUGAGUAACACGUGGGUAACCUACCCAUCAGAGGGGGAUAACACUUGGAAACAGGUGCUAAUACCGCAUAACAGUUUAUGCCGCAUGGCAUAAGAGUGAAAGGCGCUUUCGGGUCUCGCUGAUGGAUGGACCCGCGGUGCAUUAGCUAGUUGGUGAGGUAACGGCUCACCAAGGCCACGAUGCAUAGCCGACCUGAGAGGGUGAUCGGCCACACUGGGACUGAGACACGGCCCAGACUCCUACGGGAGGCAGCAGUAGGGAAUCUUCGGCAAUGGACGAAAGUCUGACCGAGCAACGCCGCGUGAGUGAAGAAGGUGUUCGGAUCGUAAAACUCUGUUGUUAGAGAAGAACAAGGACGUUAGUAACUGAACGUCCCCUGACGGUAUCUAACCAGAAAGCCACGGCUAACUACGUG